Molecule: long non-coding RNA, 438 nt
Filed under: Cricetulus griseus (Chinese hamster)
Lineage: Eukaryota; Metazoa; Chordata; Mammalia; Rodentia; Cricetidae
Description: lncRNA (ENSCGRG00015039034.1)
Source: RNAcentral
AGAAAAUGGAUGACAGGAAAUACAAUCAUUUAUACAAGGCCCCAAACACAAAGAGAAAAGCAUCCUGGGUGCUCCUGCAGAAACCGCGGAAUAGAGUGGAUGAUAAGAUAAAUAUCCUGUAUCCUAGACCAUGAAUAGAAUAAACAGAAGAGAAAAGCAUCCUAGGCUUCUUGAAUUCAUUUGUAUUUUGGAUAUCAGCACUCUCAGGGGUUGGUGAAGAUCUUUUCCCAUUAUGUGCAGUGCUGUUUUGUCUUCUGGCCCCCAGCAUAAAACUAGAACAACUAGAAGAAACCAUCCUGAGUGUGGUAAUCCUGUCACAAAAAUACAAACAUGGUAUGUAGUGAAUAAUAUAUGAAUUUUAGACAUAGUGCAAAGGAUUACUAGCCUACAAUCCACAUCAACAAAGUAACUAAGAAAAAAUGAGCACCUCAAGUGAAG